RNAcentral lists this ribosomal RNA (463 nucleotides) under uncultured bacterium. Its description in RNAcentral is "partial 16S ribosomal RNA". It matches the Rfam family "Bacterial small subunit ribosomal RNA", at positions 28 to 507 of the family's 1533-position model. The record is from RNAcentral.
GACGAACGCUGGCGGCGUGCUUAACACAUGCAAGUCGAACGGUGAACCUCUUCGGAGGGGAUCAGUGGCGAACGGGUGAGUAACACGUGGGCAACCUGCCCCCGGCUCUGGGAUAACUCCAAGAAAUUGGGGCUAAUCCCGGAUGUUCACCGCUUCCCGCAUGGGUGGUGGUGGAAAGGGUUUCCGGCUGGGGAUGGGCCCGCGGCCUAUCAGCUUGUUGGUGGGGUAGUGGCCUACCAAGGCGACGACGGGUAGCCGGCCUGAGAGGGUGACCGGCCACACUGGGACUGAGAGACGGCCCAGACUCCUACGGGAGGCAGCAGUGGGGAAUAUUGCGCAAUGGGCGGAAGCCUGACGCAGCGACGCCGCGGGGGGGAUGACGGCCUUCGGGUUGUAAAACUCUGUCAGCAGGGACGAAGCGCAAGUGACGGUACCUGCAGAAGAAGCACCGGCCAACUACGUG